CGCACGGGUGAGUAACACGUAUCCAACCUGCCGUCUACUCUUGGCCAGCCUUCUGAAAGGAAGAUUAAUCCAGGAUGGGAUCAUGAGUUCACAUGUCCGCAUGAUUAAAGGUAUUUUCCGGUAGACGAUGGGGAUGCGUUCCAUUAGAUAGUAGGCGGGGUAACGGCCCACCUAGUCAACGAUGGAUAGGGGUUCUGAGAGGAAGGUCCCCCGCAUUGGAACUGAGACACGGUCCAA
Molecule: ribosomal RNA, 237 nt
Filed under: uncultured bacterium
Lineage: Bacteria
Description: partial 16S ribosomal RNA
Rfam family: Bacterial small subunit ribosomal RNA
Source: RNAcentral